CUAGCUUCCAUAUGGUCGUAAAAAUAGAGUCACGAUCUUUCUCAACGACCAGUUUAUAAUAGUUUAUACCUGUAAACCACAUUUAAAUCAUGUAUUCUCUAUAUAGUCAGUUAUAAUCACUUCGCGUAUUUUCAGUUCUAAAAUGUUGUAUUUCGGCUGUGAGAAAGAUUGUGACUCACGUUUUACGACCGUUACGAGUUAGUUACGACCAUAUGGAAAAUAUUUCAGAAUUCGAACAGCACGUAUGUUAUUAAAUUAACUAGUUUAAUAGAUCAG
This is a non-coding RNA of Paramuricea clavata, 276 nucleotides long. NCBI's taxonomy places the organism in Eukaryota, Metazoa, Cnidaria, Anthozoa, Malacalcyonacea, Plexauridae. The record is from the annotation of a GenBank genome assembly.